This 220-nucleotide non-coding RNA is filed under the name Anaerolineae bacterium. Its description in RNAcentral is "6S RNA". It matches the Rfam family "6S / SsrS RNA". Rfam says of the family: E. coli 6S RNA was the first non coding RNA to be sequenced, but its function was unknown until recently. It consists of 184 nucleotides that fold into an extended hairpin structure with a large single-stranded internal bulge. The 6S RNA specifically associates with RNA polymerase holoenzyme containing the sigma70 specificity factor. Lineage: Bacteria; Bacillati; Chloroflexota; Anaerolineae. The record is from RNAcentral.
GAGACCCGGCUGUGUACGUGAUGCAGUGCGACGCUUUGAGCCAACACCUUGUACGUCGGGAGUCGAUCUCUGGAGGGGCUGCCAAGGAUGUCUCUUCCAUCAUUGCCGCAGCUCGACUGGGCACUGGUGGUCGGGGACUUGGCAAUAACCGACAGGUAGGCACCCACUUGUGGCUUUUCGGUUCAAAAAGCCAAGCAGCACACGGCACGGCGGGGUCUUU